AUUCAUACCUUGCAGGGGAAAUACCAUGUCAUAAAAAUGGUUUUCCCAAGGGGAGGCUCAUCCAUUGUACUUUGAUUCCUGUGAUUUCCCCAAAUGUGGGGAACUCAGCUGCAUAAUUUGUGUUAAUGGGAGAUUACAUUUGUGAUUUCCCU
Molecule: small nuclear RNA, 152 nt
Filed under: Pogona vitticeps (central bearded dragon)
Lineage: Eukaryota; Metazoa; Chordata; Lepidosauria; Squamata; Agamidae
Description: U1 spliceosomal RNA (ENSPVIG00000002742.1)
Rfam family: U1 spliceosomal RNA
About the family: U1 is a small nuclear RNA (snRNA) component of the spliceosome (involved in pre-mRNA splicing). Its 5' end forms complementary base pairs with the 5' splice junction, thus defining the 5' donor site of an intron.
Source: Rfam by way of RNAcentral